This 177-nucleotide ribosomal RNA is filed under the name Puntigrus tetrazona (Sumatra barb). RNAcentral's name for it is "partial 12S rRNA". The record is from RNAcentral. Lineage: Eukaryota; Metazoa; Chordata; Actinopteri; Cypriniformes; Cyprinidae.
UACCGCGGUUAAACGAGAGGCCCCAGUUGAUAGCACGCGGCGUAAAGAGUGGUUAGGGAUAAAGAACUUUUUUAAAGCCAAAUGGCCCCUUAGCUGUCAUAAGCUUUUAGAUGUCCGAAACCCAGUAACACGAAAGUAGCUUUAACACAACAACCCGACCCCACGAAAGCUAAGAAA